RNAcentral lists this ribosomal RNA (642 nucleotides) under Triticum aestivum (bread wheat). RNAcentral's name for it is "partial small subunit ribosomal RNA". The record is from RNAcentral. Lineage: Eukaryota; Viridiplantae; Streptophyta; Magnoliopsida; Poales; Poaceae.
AUGCCCGGCCGUCUUGAUCAGUCAGAUCAGGGAUCAGUAGCGGCUGCACUCGGCGGGGAGCCCCUGCGGGAACCUGUACCCAUCGUCGCAGUAGUUGUAGCGCAUGUAACUGCGCUCCGCCCACUUGACGGUGCCCCACUCGGCGCCGUCGAGCUGCUUGUUCAUCCACCUGCCGCUGCCGGCAUGGCACGCGCCGCCGCUGACGCAGGCGUUGGCGUAGAAGUUACGGUAGGAGACGAUGAAGGGCGCGUUGGACCAGUUGAUCGGGAUCCUGCCCUUCUCGGUCGCCCAGUAGCUGCCGUCCCACAGCGUGGCGUGGAGCCUCAUGGGCUUGGAGCUAGGGUAGGCAAGGCCGCCGAAGCGCUUGAAGGAGCGGAUGAAGAGGUUGUCCACCUUGAAGAGGAUGUUCUCCGGGUUCCAGAUGAUGGUGUAGGUGUGGUAGGCGGCGGCCGGGUCGAACCAGAGGUCGAACUGGUGCUCCUUCUUGCCGUCGCCGUUGGCCCACACGUUGGUGUUGAGCACCACCGGGUGGCCGCUCGAGUUGCCCAUGAACUCCAUGUCGAUCUCGUCGCGCCACUCGUCGUCACCGGAAGAAAGCUGCAAUUAACAGCAACGAUGGGUCAGUUAUAUAUAUAUAUAUAG